AUGAGCGUUGCCUUUUUAAGCAUUGUUGAGAAAUCAUGCUCAAAUGAUCCCGAUGAGGCAAGAAACAUCACGGAAGGAAAAAAAAAAAAAAGACGCUUCUCAUUUGAGAACAGACAGAAAGUGCAGUGGGGACAACAUCUUUGGCCCAAAGCCGGCCUGAGCCCGCUGAGCCCAGCGAGGAUCUGUGGCUCAAAGCAAGAAACCAUGAGUUCGGUCCAGAGCUGGUUUUCUGGCUCUCCAAAGAAACAAGCUGAAGGCGGAGUCCCUCUUGUAGCCCACAGCCCCUCAGUCGGUGUGUUUCCCAUGAGACACGGCGAUCCUCAACACAAAUGUGCUGCAGAAGAAAGCAGAUCCCACAGACGCUGCUCAGUCCUGAGGAGUCUGGUUGAUCACCUUCUUCUUACGGAGGGAGACCAAGUCGUAGAAAGGAUCCCUGGUGACGCUCGCUCUGAUGGCUGUCAAUCCAGGAGUCCCUCUCCUCGGCGCUGGAGGCACAGAUGGUGUAGGACUGGUGCUUCCCCUCCACCACCCUCCCGUCUGUUUCUGUCUUGCAGGCUUUGAUCUUCUGGCCUCGACCGUUCGGGUUGUAGAGCUCUAAACAGUACUGAACGGCACCAGGCCACACACGUCUCAGUCAGUGUUCCAGCUCAUCCGUCUCUCAGACUCAGAACCGUCACAGCGCUCGCUGAGAGGAUCUCACCGGUUUGCGGGCGUACGGCACUUCCCUCACGAACAGGUUCUCCAGGGGGAUGAUGCCUCUCGGCUCCUUAUCCUGCAGACGGUUGGCAGAGAGAAGGACUGAGUCAGGACACAUGUUCCAGAGACAAGGCGGAACGGCUGGGAAUAAAAAUAUCACCGGCAUCGAGAAUAAAAGGGGAAGCAGAGGAGACUGAGAGUGUGAUCAGAAACUUAGGAGUGUUAAACACUGUCAAACACAAAGUGAAAUCAACAUGGAGACGUUUGAAAAGCCAGGCAACCAUAAAGAACAAUGAAGUCGUAUCCACAACAGCAGUGGGUCAACAGAAAGUGACACUAGUUAUAAAAUGAUUGAUAGGUCCUUAAAAUAAUAAAAAAAAAAACUUCUCUAUUCAGAAUAUGACUGAAA
Molecule: long non-coding RNA, 1105 nt
Filed under: Salarias fasciatus (jewelled blenny)
Lineage: Eukaryota; Metazoa; Chordata; Actinopteri; Blenniiformes; Blenniidae
Description: lncRNA (ENSSFAG00005006521.1)
Source: RNAcentral